RNAcentral lists this ribosomal RNA (525 nucleotides) under Triticum aestivum (bread wheat). Its description in RNAcentral is "partial small subunit ribosomal RNA". The record is from RNAcentral. Lineage: Eukaryota; Viridiplantae; Streptophyta; Magnoliopsida; Poales; Poaceae.
AUGCGUGCAGGCAUAGAGGAGGUCUUUCCAUUGGCAGUGCACAGGCACUGCAGGUGGCACAUUAUAAAGAAGGCUGAGGAGACGCUAGGACCGUUCUUUGCUGACCGUACAGAGCUGCACAAGGCAUUCGAGCUGUGUGUGGACCACAGCUUGACGGUGGAGGAGUUUGAAAGGAGCUGGAUGGCCACGACUGAAACACAUCAAGUCCAAGACAAUGAGACUCUUGUUAGCCUAUGGGAGAAGCGAAUGUACUAGGUGUCAGCCUACUUCAUGCAGUGCUUCUUCCCCUUUCUGCAGACUACGCAGCGCAGCGAGGGGUUCAAUGCUGUUUUGAAGCGGUACAUCAGCCCUGGCAACUCAUUGCUACAGUUUGCCAAGCAGUACACAGCUUUGCAACAAAAAAUUAUGGGAUCUGAGCUACAGCAAGAAGCGAUCACAGCACUAAAGCAGCCAAAAUUGCUAACGUAUUUACUGAUAGAGAGGCAAAUGAGUAAGAUAUACACCAACAAGAUCUUUAACAAGUAA